GCCCGUUUCCUCCUGGAAGCUGCUUUGCCUUCCCCCAGGAGGAAGACACCGCCACUCCUCACGGAUUCUCCUCCCUGGCCCUUCCAAGUCCGGCUGCGAACACCGGGGCUCUCCUAACGGGAUGCCUUCAGUUUGGGGCCAUCUGUGGGGGCUUGGCUGGAAGCCCAGGGAUGCGGUCAUAAGGGAAGCACAUGCAAGUUUGUCACCGUUUAGGGCACUCUCUGAAUGUGUGGAGAGAGGCGGAGGGGAGCGAGAGAAAAACCUAGAGAGAAAAGGGGGGUCCACUGGGGGAGGCUGUGGAAAAAAUCGCCGUGCUGGGAUGGAGGAUGCGAUGUGCCCAAUGCAGAGUAUGGGAUCAUCCCCUUCAAGUAUUGUUACCACAGAAAUCUUUUCUUGAGAAAUUUCUUCAUAAGCCCAGGACAAAGCAGUUCACACACAAGGCCUCAGAGAAAAAAUGACCAACACAGUGCCCUCAGCAGAACCUGGAAGAAAAUUCCUCCUUGCCCUAGAAGUGACCUUGACUUGCAUGCUCCCUGUCAUGGCUAUCCAAAGAACUUUCUUUUCCUGCUCUCAACCUCAUCUUUAAUCCUGCUGGUUUUCAUUUAUUUUCUAAUUCAAUCAUAAUGAAUUUUAAAAUCCAUUCUAACUUCCAAGAACCUCUGGAGACUUGCUUCAUCAGUCUGACAUCACGUUCAUUUACAUUUCUUAUUUUUUCAUUUCCCUGUAUGAGGCCUAAGAAUUAUUCCAAUAAAACACUUUAAA
Molecule: long non-coding RNA, 762 nt
Organism: Talpa occidentalis (Iberian mole)
Lineage: Eukaryota; Metazoa; Chordata; Mammalia; Eulipotyphla; Talpidae
Exons: 3
Source: RefSeq, a predicted model, not a curated record